UUAUAGACGAAAUAGACUUUUAUGUAAGCUUAAAUAAUACACAGACGAAAACUUUUUUUAAUUUAAUUUUUAUUUUUACAAACUAAAAACGACAAUCUUAGCCUGAACCCAAGACAAACUGAAUGAGGGUAUUUAGACAAACUGCAUGAAAAGAUUGAAAUAGACAAUUCAAAUGGGUAAACAUUCUGACAGUGACAGUGAGAAGAAGAAAAGAAAAAAGAAGAAAAAGAAAAGAUCAAGGUCAAGAUCAAGUAGUG
This is a long non-coding RNA of Mytilus californianus (California mussel), 257 nucleotides long. RefSeq lists it as uncharacterized. Lineage: Eukaryota; Metazoa; Mollusca; Bivalvia; Mytilida; Mytilidae. The record is from RefSeq and is a predicted model, not a curated record. The transcript has 3 exons.